RNAcentral lists this long non-coding RNA (1139 nucleotides) under Nicotiana benthamiana. RNAcentral's name for it is "long non-coding RNA (NBEN_LNC012090)". The record is from RNAcentral. Lineage: Eukaryota; Viridiplantae; Streptophyta; Magnoliopsida; Solanales; Solanaceae.
CCAAUUCUCUCUGCAACUUCACUCAAACCCUAGCCGCCGCCACCCAAAUUCACCAUAAUUUCCUUCAACCCCCACCCCAAUCCAUGGACUCCCAUCGUUGUUUAAGAUAUGUGCUUGUCUCCUACGUCCACUAAUGGCCCGUUUGUGUGAUUUCAUGGACAGACCUCGAACAGAUCUGGUGCAUUCCUUGCUCAACUCCUAUCCAUCAUUGUUUGAGUCAGAUCCUUGACUUUUCAGGCUAAAUUAGUAACUUUUCGAAGCCCUAACUUCAAAGACUUUCAAAUGUUUUCUUUCAGAUCUGUCUUAGAUCUUUGUAUGUGAUGAAACUCUCAAGUGUUUUCCUUAAAGGGUUUUCGAUUUUUUCGAAAUCUUCAACGAUUAGGGUUUCUCAACCUCUUUUAAAUGAUCUCUUCUCCGAUUUUCAAUUUUGUUUUAUGAUUUUGCUAUGUUUAGACGAUAUGUUCAUGUUUUUCUUCUACCUGGUUCAUCGUGUUAAAGCCCUAGGUAUUUUUUAGUUUUAUCCGGGAUCUGAGUUGUCUUUGUUUGUUUGUAUGUAUACUUGUUUCGAUCAAGUUCUUUGUGUUUGGGUCCUUUUCUUUGUUGACAGAUUAAGAGUUCUUACCAUUUUUAACUCGACUAUUAUUAAAACCCUAAUUUCUUAAAAGGUUUUCCUCACUCAUUACUGUGAGUUUAAAGGGGUUUUUACUUGUUUAUGACCUUCUUACCUGUUAGUUUGGGUUUUUACUCUGGUUCUAUGUGAUUACUUGAAUUUGUUGACUACCAUGCUUCGAGUAGGUUCUUUUACUACUGAGUCCUAGCCUACUCUUGCUACUAUGGUAUUUUUGUAUUUUUUCUUUCAUCAAUAUGGUUGGCCUUGCAUGCUGAUACUCUUGUUCAUUCUUCUCUAUUUAUAUGGAAAAAUGUAGAAUCAUGAUUCGUUAUUGAUUGAUCUUUAUUUACUCAAGUUAGGACUGAUUCCAAUGGUUUUCUUAUAAACCCCUAAUUCUACCCGUUUGUUUGAGUUGAUUGAUUCCUUUCCUUUAUUUGAUGUGAUGUUGUACCCCCAUUAAAUCCUUUCCCCAAUUAAGUAUAUUUUGUACUUAGACUCAAUUAUUUACUCUUUACUUUCGAUAUCCCCU